UUGGGGCAAUGUCUACAUAGGAGUUGACCUAU
Molecule: non-coding RNA, 32 nt
Filed under: Rattus norvegicus (Norway rat)
Lineage: Eukaryota; Metazoa; Chordata; Mammalia; Rodentia; Muridae
Source: RNAcentral